AAAGGUUUUUCAAGACAUAUCAGACUCAAGGUUCAAAGGUUAGAACAGAUUAUGCUCUUUUCAGUAGGCAAAAAUAUUUUGAAGGCCAAAAGAAUAAGGGAUAACAAAAGAUGGCCUCGAUCAUGUGGAACCUGCAGGCAAGUAGUUCAAUCACAGAAAAUUUUGGCAAAAUUAUUCAUGCUUUCAGUGACAAAAAUUAUUUAAAAAUAACUCUGAAGCUCAAAACUUACACAGGUAAACUCACAAGUUCUCAAAUUCAGAAAAACAUCCUGCUGAGUAUUUUAAUCAAACUUUAUUUCAAGCACCUGUCUCACAAAUUUAUCACCAUGCAUCAUCUCAAAUUCAAUCACACACUAUAAUUUUCAAAAAGCAAAACUUAUCACACAAAACAGAGCACAGUUGAAUCAAAGAAGUUUAGUUCAUUCAAGUAUAGCACAAUAAAAAUAAAAUAAAAGAAAACACAUACUAAAACCAAAAUAAAAAAAUUAAAAAGUAAAAGUUUAGAGCACUGGGUUGCCUCCCAGCAAGCGCUUCUUUAACGUCACUAGCUUGACCCAAUAGGUUCAUUAUCAUAGCAUCCAUGAGUAGAUGUUGUUAGUAACAUCCAUGAGUAGAUGUUUAAUCACAUAGCAUCCAUCAGUAGAUGCUAAUUUUUCUUGUCUUCAUUGGUAUCCCUCAGUAGACACCAAUCCUUCUCAUCUUCAUUGGAAUCCAUCAGUAGAUGCUUAAUCACCUAACAUCCAUCAAUAGAUGUCUAGUCACCAUCCUCUUUCAUAGCAGCAUCCAUGAGUACAUGCUCUCUCAAACUCCAGCAUCCAUCAGUAGAUGCUCUCUCAAACUUUUCCAACAUCCAUCAGUAAAUGCACAUCUUUCUCAUCAACAUCCUUCAGUAGAUGUUAAUCUUUCUCUUCUUCAUCAACAUCCAUUAGUACGCGCUGUCAGUACUGCC
RNAcentral lists this long non-coding RNA (949 nucleotides) under Vigna radiata. Its description in RNAcentral is "long non-coding RNA (VRAD_LNC017395)". Lineage: Eukaryota; Viridiplantae; Streptophyta; Magnoliopsida; Fabales; Fabaceae. The record is from RNAcentral.